GCCUGGCUGGCUCAGUGGGUGGAGUAUGUGACUCUUGAUCUCGGGGUUGUGAGUUCAAGUCCCAUGUUGGGUG
This 73-nucleotide transfer RNA is filed under the name Canis lupus familiaris (dog). It matches the Rfam family "tRNA". From Rfam's summary of the family: Transfer RNA (tRNA) molecules are approximately 80 nucleotides in length. Lineage: Eukaryota; Metazoa; Chordata; Mammalia; Carnivora; Canidae. RNAcentral also lists the same sequence under 3 other names. The record is from Rfam by way of RNAcentral.